ACACUUUAAAAUUUUGAAUUCCAAGGAAUAUUUGUCGUUUUUUUUUUUUUUAAAUAAAUUUAUAUGUUAUAGACCGGUAAAAAGCAAUUCUGUUUGAAGAUCAUUUAGUAUAAUUUAAUACUAACUAACGGUUUUUUUUCACCCCUCAAUGUUACAAGAAUCUCAGUAUGGCAGACAGACGUAACUUAGGAAAUCGCACUAAACAACAGGAACAAUCCCAAAAACCAAGGGUUCCUUGGAAAGGAUUGUCAAGAUCAAGACCACAACAAGAUAGCAAUGUAACUAUAUCGGAGAGUCGCAACAUGUAUUCUUCAACAAAUCAAUUUAGGAGACCCAAUUUGGACACUACUUUAGCCACCCCAUCGUCAGCUUCUGGUAGUAGAGGUCGUGGUAGGGUUAAUUUAGAUUCAACUUUUGCGGCCCCAUCAGUCCCAAAACGCUCAUUAAAUAGGACUGCUGCUUUAAUGAAACAGGAGGUGGCCAAGAAAACUAUUAAAGAACACGAAGAAAAGAUAAAUGAUCAAAUAUUAAUUCAUACUGAGAAGUUAUAUUCAAUGCAACUCUUCUUAGCGGAUAUUAAUAAGCAAUUGGAGAACCUAGAGGAGCAAGAGAUUAUGGCACAGCUACUUGAAACUUUAAAACUAAAAGUGAAUGAAGUUGAUGAAUUACUAGAGAACUAUAGUGCUGAGAAUAAUGUGUUGAAACUACAAAAUCUCUUGAUAAAAGAGUGUGACCUUGUCAGUGUUAAAAAUAUUAAGUCAAUAGAGUCUCAAGAAGAGUUUGAUAAGUUAAUGGGAGUUUUAGGGAAGUGGAGAGAUCUUCUUCGAAAAAUCAUUAGUGAGAACAGCCAUUUAGAGGAAAUACAUGAUGUGACCGAAGAUUUUAGGCAAUUUAAAAAACUUAACAGAGAGAACUUGGAUAAGAUAGGGAAAAUUGAUGAGGUAAACAAAAAAACUGCCAGGGAAUUGAGUAAGGAGUUAUCUGAUUAUUUUGCUAAAAAAAAUGGAUAUUUUUAAGUUAAGAGUUGAGUGAAAAUAUUUCUUUUUUAUGUAUAUAGAUUGUUUAAUUAAAUAUUAUUUAUUUUCUAUUA
This 1090-nucleotide unclassified non-coding RNA is filed under the name Anthonomus grandis grandis. RNAcentral's name for it is "uncharacterized LOC126744946". The record is from RNAcentral. Lineage: Eukaryota; Metazoa; Arthropoda; Insecta; Coleoptera; Curculionidae.